CAGGGAACUGAAACAUCUAAGUACCUGAAGGAAGAGAAAGAAAUUCGAUUCCGUAAGUAGCGGCGAGCGAACGCGGAUUAGCCCAAACCAAUAAAGUUUUCUUUAUUGGGGUUGCGGACAUAUCAUAACGAAGAGGUAUCGUAAUUGAAGAGGUUUGGAAAGACCCACCACAGAAGGUAAUAGUCCUGUAUGUUAAACGAGAAGACUUUAGAUAUGAUCCAGAGUACCACGGGACACGUGAAACCCUGUGGGAAGCAGGAGGGACCACCCUCCAAGGCUAAAUACUACCUAGUGACCGAUAGCGUAUAGUACCGUGAGGGAAAGGUGAAAAGAACCCCGGGAGGGGAGUGAAAUAGAACCUGAAACCCUGCACUUACAAGCUGUGGAAGCACAUUUCUUGUGUGACCGCGUACUUUUUGUAGAACGGGCCAACGAGUUACGUUAAGUAGCAAGGUUAAGCACUUAAGGUGCGGAGCCGUAGCGAAAGCGAGUUUUAACUGAGCGUUCAGUUACUUGACGUAGACCCGAAACCGGGCGACCUACCCAUGAGCAGGAUGAAGCGAAAGUAAAAUUUCGUGGAGGUCCGAACCCACGAGCGUUGAAAAGCUCGGGGAUGACUUGUGGGUAGCGGUGAAAUUCCAAUCGAGCCCGGAGAUAGCUGGUUCUCCCCGAAAUAGCUUUAGGGCUAGCCUCAAGGUGAGAGAUACGGAGGUAGAGCACUGAAUGUCCUAGGGGGUAUUGCACCUACCGAAGACUAUCAAACUCCGAAUGCCGUCAUCUUAUACUUGGGAGUCAGACUGUGGGUGAUAAGAUUCAUAGUCGAAAGGGCAACAGCCCAGAUCGUCAGCUAAGGUCCCUAAAUGUAAGUUAAGUGGUAAAGGAUGUGGGAUUGCACAGACAACCAGGAUGUUGGCUUAGAAGCAGCCACUCAUUCAAAGAGUGCGUAAUAGCUCACUGGUCGAGUGAUCCUGCGCCGAAGAUUUCCGGGGCUAAAACUUACUACCGAAGCUACGGCAUCAGUAAUGAUGGGUAGGGGAGCUUCCCAUACGGGUUGAAGCAUGACCGUAAGGACAUGUGGACAGUAUGGGAGUGAGAAUGUUGGCAUGAGUAGCGAGAUGUGGGUGAGAAUCCCACAGGCCGUAAACCCAAGGUUUCCAGGGGAAGGUUCGUCCGCCCUGGGUUAGUCGGGACCUAAGCUGAGGCCGAAAGGCGUAGGUGAUGGACAACAGGUUGAUAUUCCUGUACUACCGAUAACCGUUUGAGAGAAGGGAUGACACAGUAGGAUAAGCUAAGCACACUGUUGGUUAUGUGUGCCCAAGCAUUGAGGCAGUCAAAGUAGGCAAAUCCGCUUUGAUAAUGCUGGGAUGUGAUGGGGAGCGAAAUUUAGUAGCGAAGUAGCUGAUUUCACACUGUCAAGAAAAGUCUCUAUCGAGGUUAAAGGUACCCGUACCGCAAACCGACACAGGUGGGUGAGGAGAGUAUCCUAAGGCCAGCGAGAGAACUGUUGUUAAGGAACUCGGCAAAAUGACCCCGUAACUUAGGGAUAAGGGGUGCCACCAUCAGGUGGCCGCAGAGAAUAGGCCCAAGCGACUGUUUACCAAAAACAUAGGUUUCUGCUAAGUCGCAAGACGAUGUAUAGGAGCUGACGCCUGCCCGGUGCUGGAAGGUUAAGGGGAUCUGUUAGAGCAAUCGAAGCAGUGAACUUAAGCCCCAGUAAACGGCGGCCGUAACUAUAACGGUCCUAAGGUAGCGAAAUUCCUUGUCGGGUAAGUUCCGACCCGCACGAAAGGCGUAACGAUUUGGGCACUGUCUCAACAACAGACUCGGUGAAAUUGUAAUUCCGGUGAAGAUGCCGGAUACCUGCGACAGGACGGAAAGACCCCAUGGAGCUUUACUGUAGCUUGACAUUGGGUCUUGGUACUACAUGUACAGGAUAGGUGGGAGGCUUUGAAACCAGGACGCCAGUUUUGGCGGAGCCAUCCUUGGGAUACCACCCUUGUAGUACUGGGACUCUAACCAUAGGCCAUGAAUCUGGUCUUGGGACACUGUCAGGUGGGCAGUUUGACUGGGGCGGUCGCCUCCCAAAAGGUAACGGAGGCGCUCAAAGGUUCUCUCAGUACGGUCGGAAAUCGUACGUAGAGUGUAAAGGCAAAAGAGAGCUUGAUUGCAAGACAUACAGGUCGAGCAAGGAUGAAAAUCGGACUUAGUGAUCCGGUGGUUCUGCGUGGAAGGGCCAUCGCUCAACGGAUAAAAGCUACCCUGGGGAUAACAGGCUUAUCUCCCCCAAGAGUCCACAUCGACGGGGAGGUUUGGCACCUCGAUGUCGGCUCAUCACAUCCUGGGGCUGUAGUAGGUCCCAAGGGUUGGGCUGUUCGCCCAUUAAAGUGGUACGCGAGCUGGGUUCAGAACGUCGUGAGACAGUUCGGUCCCUAUCCGUCGCAGGCGUAGGAAAUUUGAGAAGACCUGUCCUUAGUACGAGAGGACCGGGAUGGACGUACCUCUGGUGUACCAGUUGUCCUGCCAAGGGCAUGGCUGGGUAGCUAUGUACGGAAUGGAUAAGCGCUGAAAGCAUCUAAGCGCGAAGCCAACUUCAAGAUAAGAUUUCCCACCGCAAGGGUAAGACCCCAGAAAGACUAUCUGGUUGAUAGGUCGAAGGUGUAAGUGCAGCAAUGUAUUUAGCUUAUCGAUACUAAUAGGUCGAGGACUUGACCAA
RNAcentral lists this ribosomal RNA (2713 nucleotides) under Clostridioides difficile. Its description in RNAcentral is "23S ribosomal RNA". It matches the Rfam family "Bacterial large subunit ribosomal RNA". Lineage: Bacteria; Bacillati; Bacillota; Clostridia; Peptostreptococcales; Peptostreptococcaceae. The record is from RNAcentral.